CCGGAGGGGGCGCGUCCAGGCGGGCUAGCCGAGUUCCGAGCGCGGCGCGUCAGAACAGGACGGUUCCCUGCACGGUCUAGUGUUUUGCAAAAGUCUCAGUUGAUUCGAGUUGUAAUAGCUCCUGAAAUUGAUCACACCCAAAUCUAGUGCAACUUCAAUGAAAUUUCCAACAGGAUUUGUUAUGUAACUUGAUAAACUGAUUCUAAAAUAUGCAUGGAAGAGCAAGAAGCGAAUUCUUCUGUAAAAGAACAAGGCAGGGAAACUAAAUUUACAAGCAACAGAAGGCUGACAUUUCAAAGGCUUCUCAACGUCAGAUAACCUCAGGGUUAGAGAGGCAACUGCAGACUGAAAAAUAAGAGCUACAAUUUAGUGUGAACACAGGUCAGCCAAAUCAAGUCCUUUACUACUCUUUGU
This is a long non-coding RNA of Lemur catta (Ring-tailed lemur), 414 nucleotides long. RefSeq lists it as uncharacterized. The record is from RefSeq and is a predicted model, not a curated record. The transcript has 3 exons. Lineage: Eukaryota; Metazoa; Chordata; Mammalia; Primates; Lemuridae.